RNAcentral lists this long non-coding RNA (298 nucleotides) under Numida meleagris (helmeted guineafowl). RNAcentral describes it as "lncRNA (ENSNMEG00000004878.1)". Lineage: Eukaryota; Metazoa; Chordata; Aves; Galliformes; Numididae. The record is from RNAcentral.
CUUUGUCUUCAUGCUUUGCUGUGCCCUUCCCAUUCCUUUCCGGUUGUAAAUGUCACUCCCAGAAAAGGGAAAUAACCCCUUGGAUGGCUCUGCCCAGCCCUGAAGAGCUGCAGGAAAAGGAAUGCCACGCAAUGAUCAUAGGAACUGCAGGGUCCAUAGAUUUCGACUGCUGGAAGAACUUGCCCUAGGAAUCUGAAGCAGCGUGGUUGAGCUGUCUUAAAAAUGUAUUGAGGUUGAAACAAAAAGAAGAAACCUGAUGCCUUGUGGAUUCACAGGACUAUAAGAAAUCAACGUGUGA